GGCAGCACGGGAGUAGCAAUACAACUGGUGGCGACCGGCGCACGGGUGAGUAACGCGUAUGCAACCCAUCUAUCAGAGGGGAAUAACCCGGCGAAAGUCGGACUAAUACCUCAUAAAACAGGGACACCGCAUGGUGAUAUUUGUUAAAGAAAUUCGCUGAUAGAUGGGCAUGCGUUCCAUUAGGUAGUUGGUGAGGUAACGGCUCACCAAGCCGACGAUGGAUAGGGGAACUGAGGGGUUGGUCCCCCACACUGGUACUGAGACACGGACCAGACUCCUACGGGAGGCAGCAGUGAGGAAUAUUGGUCAAUGGGCGAGAGCCUGAACCAGCCAAGUCGCGUGAAGGAAGAAGGAUCUAUGGUUCGUAAACUUCUUUUGCAGGGGAAUAAAGUGCAGGACGUGUCCUGUUUUGUAUGUACCCUGAGAAUAAGGAUCGGCUAACUCCGUGCCAGCAGCCGCGGUAAUACGGAGGAUCCGAGCGUUAUCCGGAUUUAUUGGGUUUAAAGGGUGCGUAGGUGGUUUGAUAAGUCAGCGGUGAAAGUUUGCAGCUUAACUGUAAAAAUGCCGUUGAAACUGUCGGACUUGAGUGUAAAUGAGGUAGGCGGAAUGCGUGGUGUAGCGGUGAAAUGCUUAGAUAUCACGAAGAACUCCGAUUG
This 656-nucleotide ribosomal RNA is filed under the name uncultured Bacteroidales bacterium. RNAcentral's name for it is "bacterial SSU rRNA". It matches the Rfam family "Bacterial small subunit ribosomal RNA", at positions 68 to 715 of the family's 1533-position model. The record is from RNAcentral. Lineage: Bacteria; Pseudomonadati; Bacteroidota; Bacteroidia; Bacteroidales.